Molecule: ribosomal RNA, 1978 nt
Filed under: human metagenome
Description: bacterial LSU rRNA
Rfam family: Bacterial large subunit ribosomal RNA
Source: RNAcentral
UAAAAUAAUUAAGGGCACACAAAGGAUGCCUAGGUAGUAAGAGCCGAUGAAGGACGUGGUAAGCUGCGAUAAGCCUAGAUAAGUUGCAAUCGAACGUAAGAGUCUAGGAUUUCCGAAUGGAGCAAUCUAUUAAGAUGGAGUCUUAAUACGAAAGAGGGAACCGCGUGAACUGAAACAUCUAAGUAACGCGAGGAAAAGAAAGUAAAAACGAUACCCAAAGUAGCGGCGAGCGAAAUGGGUCAAGCCUAAACCUUAAAUAUGUCAAGGAUACAGCCGUUGUAUUUAAGGGGUUGUGGGACAGAGUGAUGAAGAACUGUAAGAUAUUCAAUAUAGUGUAUUGAUGAAUUAGAAUUGUCUGGAAAGGUGAACCGCAGAAGGUGAAAGUCCUGUAUAAGUAAAUCCUUACACAUAUAACUUUGCUCCCAAGUAACAUGGAACACGAGGAAUUCUGUGUGAAUCAGUGAGGACCAUAUCUCAUAAGGCUAAAUACUCUUACUAACCGAUAGCGCAUAGUACCGUGAGGGAAAGGUGAAAAGAACCCCUGGAGGGGAGUGAAAUAGAACCUGAAAUUGUGUGCUUACAAGCGGUCAGAGCCCAUUUGGGUGAUGGCGUGCCUUUUGGAGAAUGAUCCUGCGAGUUACGUUAAACGGCGAGGUUAAGUAUAACGGAGCCGAAGGGAAACCAAGUCUUAAUAGGGCGAUUUAGUCGUUUGGCGUAGACGCGAAACCUGGUGAUCUAAACCUGUCCAGGAUGAAGCUGUGGUAAGACACAGUGGAGGUCCUAACCCACCGCCGUUGAAAAGUUGGGGGAUGAGGUAGGUUUAGGGGUGAAAAGCCAAUCGAACCAGGAGAUAGCUCGUUCUCUCCGAAAUGCAUCUAGGUGCAGCCUUGAGUGUUCAAUUAUGGGGGUAGAGCACUGAAUGAUCUAGGGGGCAUAUUGCUUACUGAAAUCAAUCAAACUCCGAAUACCAUAAUUUAUAGCUCAGGAGUGAGACUAUGGGAGUUAACUUCCAUUGUCAAAAGGGAAACAACCCAGACCACCAGCUAAGGUCCCUAAUUAUAACUAAGUGGGAAAGGAGGUGGAGAUUCACAAACAACUAGGAGGUUGGCUUAGAAGCAGCCAUACCUUUAAAGAGUGCGUAAUAGCUCACUAGUCGAGAGUCUCUGCGCCGACAAUGUAACGGGGCUAAGUUAUAAACCGAAGCUGUGGAAUCCGUAAGGAUUGGUAGGAGAGCGUUCUGUAGGCCGUUGAAGAAGAAGGGUAACCGACUUUGGAGGUAUCAGAAGUGAGAAUGCAGGAAUAAGUAGCGAGAAAGGGGGCGAGAAUCCCCCUCGCCGGAAGACCAAGGUUUUCAGGGUAAAGCUUGUCUUCCCUGAGUAAGCCGGGACCUAAGCCCAGGCUAUAAUGCGUAGGCGAAUGGAAAACAGAUUAAUAUUUCUGUGCCAGUCAUAUAUUGUGAUGGAGGGACGCAGAAGGGUAUGCGCGCGGACGAACGGAAGUGUCCGUAGAAGUAUGUAGGGUGACUUAGUAGGUAAAUCCAUUAAGUUAUAUCUGAGGUAUGAUAUACAGUCGUAAGAUGAAUGCGCAAAUCCCACGCUGCCAAGAAAAGCUUCUAACGUUAAUAUUUGACUGCCCGUACUGCAAACCGACACAGGUGGUCAGGAUGAGAAAUCUAAGGCGGACAGGCUAACUCUCGUUAAGGAACUCUGCAAAAUAACCUCGUAACUUCGGGAGAAGAGGAGCCCUUGGGUGUUAGUAUCCAUGCGAUACAAAGCGCUCGAGGGUCGCAGUGAAGAGGCUCAAGCAACUGUUUAACAAAAACACAGGUCUAUGCUAAGCUGGAAGGCGAUGUAUAUGGGCUGACACCUGCCCAGUGCUGGAAGGUUAAGAGGAGGAGUGAGAGCUCCGAAUUGAAGCCCCAGUGAACGGCGGCCGUAACUAUAACGGUCCUAAGGUAGCGAAAUUCCUUGUCGGGUAA